CAGCAGAGGUGAAAUUCAUGAAGAACAGACACUGAAUCAGAGAUGCGAAGCGAAGACGAUGAGGAUCGAAGCGGCCGUGAGGCAAACGGCGAUUGAUACCGUAUAGAAUAUCAGAGUUCUUGAGAAAGAGAGAGAAAAAGUAUUUCUUAGAGAUUAAGAAAACUAUGAUUUUUACAUUGAUCAAGUAGAAUAAAACAAUUACAUAUAUAUAUAGCCUUUUGGCUAUUCACUCUUAACUAUCUCACACACUAAUUACAUGUGAAACAAACUUAUAUCAAACUAAUAAAAUCAACUCUAGUUAUAAUAUGACAUCUUCAUCUUUACUUUUGUGUUUCUAAGCAAAAGUUCAGGAGGAGCCAUUUUCAAUAAUAACAAAAACGAUUGUUAGCUCUAGAAGUAGUAAAAAAGUUGUUGAAAUUUCUCACCGUUAGCAAUGAUGACGCUAGAGAACACAACGUCUUUGAAGAUACCGAUGGUACGGAAAGAAAUAUGCUAGCUAACUAGGUUGUAUAAUGCGGAAAACAACUUUUUUGGUUGUUGUUGAGAAUUUUCGAUUUCUAGGUACUGGAUAUGUUCACAUUUUUUGGUUGUUUGUUACUCAAUAUUUCGGUUGAUUGCUACCAAAUACUAGGAGUGAUGAUGAACUUGCAAUAUUCGGCAAAAAGCAACCAAAUAUUUUGAAGAUUACCGAUUGGUGCCUAUUGCAUCGUUACAUAUAGCAUGGGGCAUCCUCGAUAAUAAUUUCUUGUUAGAGAAAACAUAUCUUUUCAUAUUGAAUUUUAACAAAUUGUGGGAUCGUAAUACAACCAUAUAGAGGAUCGUUAAGGGAAUUAAGUACCCAUACAAGUCUAAUGACGUUUCCACAAAGCAAAGCACUACUUCAUCCAGAUUCAUGCGUUAUGUAUUCCCACUGAGAUAAAUGUUUUUUUUUUUCAUGCUCUUUCUAGCCAUGACCUUUGUAAUUUUGUAUACACGUAAAAUGCUGCAUGAGAGAGAGAGAGAGAGAGAGAGAGAGAGAGAGAGAGAGAGAGAGAGAGAGAGAGAGAGAGAGAGAGAUCAUCAGUUUCAAGUGAUUUUUGUUUGUUUUUUACCUAUACCAAAUGUGACAUAUCAAAUAAUAUGCAAGGACAGAAAACCAACAGCCAAGCCUAAAAUUAUAGUAUCACACAUCCCAUAAAAAAUCCAAAUAAAUGGAUCAUAAAAAAUAAAACAAAAUAAAAAGACAUGGAAAGAAAGAGAGGGAAUGCUUUUAUAAAAGUAUGUAGCAUUGACUAACAUAAAAUAUAAAUAAUAAAAUUAAAAUUUUAAAAUUUAACAGUUGUAUAAAUUAAACUUAACGAUCAAUACUUAUAGUAACAUUGACUGAUACAUAUCAUUAAAUGGGGAAUGAGAGAGCGUAAUGUUCAAUGAAUUGUGUUAGUAUGCUCGUAAUAUGGGAUGGUCCGUAACAUAUUAUAUAAGUGCA
Molecule: long non-coding RNA, 1465 nt
Filed under: Malus domestica (apple)
Lineage: Eukaryota; Viridiplantae; Streptophyta; Magnoliopsida; Rosales; Rosaceae
Description: long non-coding RNA (MDOM_LNC005691)
Source: RNAcentral